AUGUGGAGCAUCUUGAGGCCGGAGAUGUUCUCGAUGGCGAGGUUGAUGAGCGACGCGAUGACGCCGGUGAGGAGCCCCACCAGGAACGCCAGCGACCACUUGAGGAAGAUGUACUGCAGCACCUCCACGUUGGACCGGCUCCUCCAGUCGUGCUUGAACAGAUCGUUCUCGAUGAUCCUGCGGACAUGGCAGCUCAAUUCACUAAGCAAGCCAACCAAAUUGCACGAACAGAGUUGUAAGCUGGCACCCAAGGAUGGAUCGAGCGGUGGAAUACUCACUCGUAGUCGAGGCUCUCGAUGUGCGAGACCUUGGCGCCGACCAUGGCGAGGUGGCUGGAGGUGA
RNAcentral lists this ribosomal RNA (342 nucleotides) under Triticum aestivum (bread wheat). RNAcentral's name for it is "partial small subunit ribosomal RNA". The record is from RNAcentral. Lineage: Eukaryota; Viridiplantae; Streptophyta; Magnoliopsida; Poales; Poaceae.